Patella vulgata (common limpet) is the source of this 443-nucleotide long non-coding RNA. RefSeq lists it as uncharacterized. The transcript is spliced from 3 exons. NCBI's taxonomy places the organism in Eukaryota, Metazoa, Mollusca, Gastropoda, Patellidae. The record is from RefSeq and is a predicted model, not a curated record.
GUGUGUCAUUCUCCUUCAACAAAAUCAGAAGAGAAUGUCAACUUUUUGAUAUAAAUCUAAAUGAAACAGAGACAUGGGUCGAUGAUGUUGGAAACGAAAUUUUUACACUGCAAACAGAGGGCGAAAACCUGGUCAGGGAUAAACCCACUUAUAGCAGUAGUGUAGUUACUGGUCGUUCGAGUGGGCAAGCUGUAGACGGGGACAUCACACCACAAUAUAAUGCUUCACAGUCUUUUUGUUUUCAAACCCCCAACACCGACUACAAUCCGUGGUUUAUUGUGGAUCUAGAAGAUGUUUAUAGAAUCAUCUUUGUUGUUGUCUAUAAUGCUGAUGAUUAUCCUGAACGACUACAUGAUGUUAAUUAUGAAGUAUUUCAAACGAACCCGGAUGUUAACAACUCGGACGUCCCCAACUGCUGUGCAUCUGUGCCGAAUUUCAAUAAA